UCGAGAAUUUUUCACAAUGGGCGAAAGCAUGAUGGAGCGACGCCGCGUGGGGGAUGAAUGGCUUCGGCCCGUAAACCCCUGUCAUUCGCGAGCAAACGUUAUUAUUUAAAAGAUGAUAGCCUGAUAGUAGCGAAAGAGGAAGGGACGGCUAACUCUGUGCCAGCAGCCGCGGUAAUACAGAGGUCCCAAGCGUUGUUCGGAUUUACUGGGCGUAAAGGGUGCGUAGGUGGUGGGGUAAGUCGGAUGUGAAAUCUCCGAGCUCAACUCGGAAAGUGCAUUGGAAACUACCCUGCUCGAGGGUUGGAGGGGGGACUGGAAUACUUGGUGUAGCAGUGAAAUGCGUAGAUAUCAAGUGGAACACCAGUGGCGAAGGCGAGUCCCUGGACAACUCCUGACACUGAUGCACGAAAGCUAUGGGAGCAAACAG
RNAcentral lists this ribosomal RNA (427 nucleotides) under uncultured bacterium. Its description in RNAcentral is "bacterial SSU rRNA". It matches the Rfam family "Bacterial small subunit ribosomal RNA", at positions 355 to 775 of the family's 1533-position model. The record is from RNAcentral.